RNAcentral lists this long non-coding RNA (212 nucleotides) under Panax ginseng (ginseng). Its description in RNAcentral is "long non-coding RNA (PGIN_LNC001877)". Lineage: Eukaryota; Viridiplantae; Streptophyta; Magnoliopsida; Apiales; Araliaceae. The record is from RNAcentral.
GGGAGGGGUAGGUUCAGCAUACACGGUCUCGGGAGAGAGAGAUUUGUUUGGACUGGGUUCUUGGAGAGGAGUGACAGAUGCAGAGCUUGGGUGGCUGUCAGGUGUGCGUUUCCUCUUCCUGGACAGAGUUUGGACAGCUUCAUCCUGAUCACCUUCUUCGGCAAUCUGUAUUUCUACAGGCGGUACGAAGGGGGGGAUGAUCGAAGAUUGGG